UAAGUAUUCAUAUGAUAUACAAAUUCAUUUAAUGAUUUGAAAAUAUACACUUUAAAAUCUAUUGUAUGAGUGAACCCCUAAACAAAUUCUGCCAAAAAAGUGCAAUAAACUUGUCCUGCUGAUGUUGUGCAUAAGCAUUUCUUAUUCCAUAUCACGGGGCAGGAAGAACUAUCUGAAAAUUAUGGUCUAUAGUAAUUUCUUGACUCAUGAAUCCUUUAGGAGGAUUGUGUGUGCACACAGCAAAAGGACAAUACAGUUUCUCGCAUUUUCUAUUACUCUUACUACUACAAAUGGCAUUGGCCAAACAGAAGAACAUAUUUGUGAUUGCUUUGUGUGUGUGAUGUAGCUCACAAGCCUUUCCCUCUUGUAACAGUGGUGGCUGGAAUAGCUCCCUCUGCUCAGUUACGUGUGGACACAGAAUGAACUGACUCAGAGAAUUCAUUCUGAUUAAAUUUUUUAUUUUUGCCAGGUUAUUUUCCCCAGGUCUGUCUGGCCAUGCACUGCUGUGUCCGUGCUGCUGAGGGGUAGCUGGAACAAAUGGAACAAGAACUAAGCUGGACCGGAUCAGCACUACAGCCCGAGAGAGGGUGAGACCACAAUUCUGGGAAGGCCUGAUUACAGCAGCCAUAUCAACAUGGAACAUGUGGAAAAUAGGGGGAAGCUGGAGAGAGGUAAUAAAGCUGAAGGACACCCAUAGCAAGGCCAAAAGAGAUUGGCAGAGUAGGAUGUCUAAUGAAAGAUGUUGACUGGCCUGCAAAUCAAAGGAUAAUAUUCCAAAGGGACAGAGAAACAAUGGAAGGUAAAGGAUCAGCAAUGUUUGCAGAGAAAACACAGACAUGGUGAUGGGUGAGAGUUUACAGCCUGUGUGGUGUGUUGUGUAGAUGUAACACAGUGUCACAUACUCAACAAACCAAAGUGGAACAGGGCCUGGAGUCAUUUAAAAUGGUACCAUGUGGGCACGUCAAGAGUGGGAACUAAAUAGAGACUGAAAAGAAAGCACAGAAGUGAAGAAAGCAUCUGUUCUGGAAGAACAGAAACAUCACUUGUGACAAUUUGGUUUCAGAGGCAUAUGCUGGUUUUAUUAUUCAGCCAGUGGUAAAACAACAUUAAAGCUUCUAAUGAUUAUUUACUAACAAAAAUAAUGUUGACUUCAUGCUCAGAUAACUCUUUUGGAUCCCAUUAUGAUGUUGCCAUGGAACCAACCUGUGAUAUUGGCAAGCUCAUACUCCAUAAGGGCAAACAUAACACUUGCAACCAGUAAAAUAAUUAUUACAUGUACUUAGUACAUCAGAAAGUUUCCAAAGAUGAGAAAAAAAUAUAAGAAAAACUGAUUUUGAUCUAAAGAAACCAAACCAGAUAUAGAAAUUACAUUUUUUAAAGGGUAUCUUUAUUCUGGUCAACAAACCACUGCUAAUGCUACUGGCAGAUGACAUAAAAACAUUGGCAAAUACUUGAGAUAAGAGUGGUAAAUUACAAAGAUGAGCUAAUCAUACAGAGCAAUCUGAAAUGUUUGUGAAACAGAAAACAAAAGAGUCUUGAAUUGAGUCAAAUUUCAUGAAUGCACUGGGAACAAGGGGUUGAGGUCCCAUCUACAGGGCCAGGGCUGUAUCUGGAGGACAGUGAUUCAGAACAGAAAUUACAGAUUGGUGCUAGUUGAUAUGAACGAGGUUCAGAGGUAGCCACUAUUUUCUGUCAAGGAAAUGAUUGCUGUAGCAUUUGGAUUAAAAUGUCCCUAAAACUGGCUUUGCUCUGUGUAAGCAAAUGAGUGGACGUGGCAACCAAAACCACAAGGAAGCCUUUUACCUACAGCCAGACCUCUGAUAGCAGGAGGACAAGAGCAGACACGAGUGUCUUCAACGGCACAUUCCAUUUACUUCUGGGAAGUAACCAUGUUUUUCAUCUCUGAAUCUGUGUUCUGUUUUCCUCUGUAAUAAUUAAAAUGGUCUGUAAUAAAAAUAAAGAGAUCAUAAAAUAA
Pseudopipra pipra is the source of this 1975-nucleotide long non-coding RNA. RefSeq lists it as uncharacterized. NCBI's taxonomy places the organism in Eukaryota, Metazoa, Chordata, Aves, Passeriformes, Pipridae. The record is from RefSeq and is a predicted model, not a curated record. The transcript has 3 exons.